This 468-nucleotide ribosomal RNA is filed under the name uncultured bacterium. RNAcentral's name for it is "partial 16S ribosomal RNA". It matches the Rfam family "Bacterial small subunit ribosomal RNA", at positions 28 to 507 of the family's 1533-position model. The record is from RNAcentral.
GACGAACGCUGGCGGCGUGCUUAACACAUGCAAGUCGAACGGAAAGGCCCUGCUUUUGUGGGGUGCUCGAGUGGCGAACGGGUGAGUAACACGUGAGUAACCUGCCCUUGACUUUGGGAUAACUUCAGGAAACUGGGGCUAAUACCGGAUAGGAGCUCCUGCUGCAUGGUGGGGGUUGGAAAGUUUCGGCGGUUGGGGAUGGACUCGCGGCUUAUCAGCUUGUUGGUGGGGUAGUGGCUUACCAAGGCUUUGACGGGUAGCCGGCCUGAGAGGGUGACCGGCCACAAUGGGACUGAGGUACGGCCCAGACUCCAACGGGAGGCAGCGGGGGGGAAUAUUGCACAAUGGGCGGGGGCCUGAUGCAGCAACGCCGCGUGCGGGAUGACGGCCUUCGGGUUGUAAACCGCUUUCGCCUGUGACGAAGCGUGAGUGACGGUAAUGGGUAAAGAAGCACCGGCUAACUACGUG